AUUGAACGCUGGCGGCAUGCCUUACACAUGCAAGUCGAACGGCAGCGGGCCUUCGGGUGCCGGCGAGUGGCGAACGGGUGAGUAAUGCAUCGGAACGUGCCAUUGAGUGGGGGAUAACGUAGCGAAAGUUACGCUAAUACCGCAUAUUCUGUGAGCAGGAAAGCAGGGGGACCGCAAGGCCUUGCGCUCUUUGAGCGGCCGAUGUCAGAUUAGCUAGUUGGUGAGGUAAAGGCUUACCAAGGCGACGAUCUGUAGCGGGUCUGAGAGGAUGAUCCGCCACACUGGAACUGAGACACGGUCCAGACUCCUACGGGAGGCAGCAGUGGGGAAUUUUGGACAAUGGGCGCAAGCCUGAUCCAGCCAUGCCGCGUGAGUGAAGAAGGCCU
This 386-nucleotide ribosomal RNA is filed under the name uncultured bacterium. Its description in RNAcentral is "bacterial SSU rRNA". It matches the Rfam family "Bacterial small subunit ribosomal RNA", at positions 30 to 417 of the family's 1533-position model. The record is from RNAcentral.